GUGUCAGCAGCCGCGGUAAUACGUAGGGGGCGAGCGUUGUCCGGAUUUAUUGGGCGUAAAGAGCGUGUAGGCGGUUCGGUAAGUCUGUCGUGAAAUCCUGAGGCUCAACCUCGGGCGUGCGAUGGAUACUGCCGGGCUAGAGGGUGGUAGAGGCGAGUGGAAUUCCCGGUGUAGCGGUGAAAUGCGCAGAUAUCGGGAGGAACACCAGUAGCGAAGGCGGCUCGCUGGGCCACACCUGACGCUGAGACGCGAAAGCUAGGGGAGCGAACAGGAUUAGAUACCCUGGUAGUCC
RNAcentral lists this ribosomal RNA (292 nucleotides) under uncultured bacterium. RNAcentral's name for it is "partial 16S ribosomal RNA". It matches the Rfam family "Bacterial small subunit ribosomal RNA", at positions 505 to 796 of the family's 1533-position model. The record is from RNAcentral.